Molecule: long non-coding RNA, 4960 nt
Filed under: Sus scrofa (pig)
Lineage: Eukaryota; Metazoa; Chordata; Mammalia; Artiodactyla; Suidae
Description: lncRNA (ENSSSCG00000058464.1)
Source: RNAcentral
GUUCUGUCCUGCUCAAAACAAAAUAGAAGGGGCAAUCUUCCCUACUUCUUAAGGCCUGUCCUUCCUAUCACUAAAUUUAGUAUAUUAUCUUUAUUAAAACCCUACUUAAAAGCACCUAUGAAGUUUUCUCCCAUGCAAAACGUAAUUCUCAUUACUCUAUUGGCUGCAUUAGUUUGUCAGAUUUUCAAAAAGAGACCAACUCCCAAGAGGUAAAAGGGGUAAGAAAUAGGAAGUUGUUGAUAGGAAAGGACGCCUGAAAAGGGAAGAACAGAACUGGAGGCAAAACUCAGUCUACUUUUGACUAAAGCGUGCCUCAACUUUUGCAUAGCAAAUGUGGUGAGUAAAAUAUGCAUAUGGAAGUACCAGAGCAAUGGCUUCCUACAGGAUGCCCUGAUAAGAGGUAGAAGUUACUCACCUGAAAUAGACUGCCAAAUGUUUUUGAGCAAAGAUGAGUUUUUCAGGAGCAGUAGAGAAUUGCAGCGCAGGGUCUGCAACCAUGUUAAGCCUUAGGCAGGUUCUUGCAGGGCUAGGGAAGGAGAACUCUUUCAUGGAGAGGAAAAGGAAGGUGGGGGGCGGUGUGCUGUAGUAAACGGAGAGUCCAUAGUUCUUCAUUACCAUGAGUCCUUGCCGGGAAAGAAGACUCUUUCUUCUUCCUGUUGGACUCUGCUGUCAUUGCAGGACAUAGGAUCUCUCCCUUCUGGUUUCCCAACUGUAUUUAAAUGAGGUUUCUGUUUAUUAAUUUUUACAGAUUAAAACUUAAGAAUCUCUGGGGCUCAAGAUGAUUCUUAGUUUCCAAAGAAAGCAGUCUUUGUGUUGUACUCACCUUACAAGUGAGAACUUAUAAAUUAAUGAACUGCAAAAGCAUCAAAGAUUAAAAGAAAAUAUGUACUUCCUAUCUUGGAGCGGGCUUCCUUUACAAUGCUUUACAACUCCUCCUUCAGGCGUUUCCUGGUGGCCUAGCUGUUAAGAACUCAGUGUUGUCACUGCUGUGGCUUAGGUUCAGUCCCUGGCAUGGGAAAUUCCACAUGUUGUAGGUGCAGCCAAAAAAGGUCAGUGCUAGAAGGGAACCCUACAGUAAUGAAAUGUUUUACUUGUGGAAACAUAAGAAACAACACGAACACAGAACUGCCUGUACUUCCUACACCAGGGUGGAACAGACUCCACUUGCAGCAGAUUCCAGAUUAAAAUACUAGAACAGACCACUGAAGACCAAACACCCUUGAGGGAGAAACAAAGUGGCGAUAGAGGAAGCUGGAAAUUGAGAAAUAAUAGGCUAACCAGCAAAAAGUUAUUAUAUUAAAUAAAAUCGCUUUGCCAGACACACAAUAGCUUCUAAUAUGGUUCCUGAGGGCAACUGUUAACUGAAAAUUUAUUUAUAAGGGCACACUUACGGUUUUGAAAAUGACUUUUAAAAAAAGCUAUGACUAACUGCCUGAAAAGAACACUCUUCAAUAGCAACUGAUGGUGACAAUACUUAUUGCCAACAGCAAACCCAUGUAUUUUCAUUUUCUAGGACUACCAUAAAGACUACGAACUGGGUGGUUUAAAACAACAGAAAUUUAUUCUCUCACAAUCUGGUGGCUAGAAAUCCACAAUCAAGGAGUCAGCAGAGCUAUGCUCUAAGACUCUGAGUAGAAGCAUUUCUUGCCUCUUUCUAGCUUCUGGUGGAAGCCAUAAGUCCCGGGUGUUCCUUGGUUUAACUGCACCACUCCAGUCUCUGCCUCUAUCAACCACAUGCUGUUCACCCUGUGUGUCUCUCUUCUCAUGAUGUUUUCCUUUUCUUCCAAAGACAACAAUCAUACUGGAUUGGUGGUACCCACCCUAAUUACUUUACCUUAGCUUAAUUACAUCUACAAAGUCCUUAUUUCCAAAGUCACAUUUACAAGUGCUGGGGUUAGGACUUCCACAUAUUUUUUUGAGCAACACAAUUCAACCUAUAAGACCCGGGUACUUUCCCAAGAUCAAGCUCCCAUUGAUAAUCUAAAAUAGGUUAAUCCCUAAAAUAAGAUUGUCCCAAGCUCUAAAAUAAAUUUGUUUCAAACUCACAACUUCCACAUGAAAACUGAUGUUUGUCUUUUACCAUAACCAAUAUUCAUCUGGUAAUCUUCUCUCUUCCAUUUCUAAAGUAACUUUACCUUUGAUUUAUACAUCAUAUAAAUAGGUAAACACUUUAUAUCUUCAUGCUUCUUUUGUUCCAUCUAUAUGUCCCUUACAUGUAUGUCUGUUCUUGAUUGUGAGCUCCCAGAAGGCAGUGACUAAAAAUACUUACUUCCCUCUUUCUGACUAAGCUCCUUAGAGGGAUUCCUAUAGCAGAGUUCUUUGAAACCCUAAAGAAAUAAUUCAUACAUAGCAGCCUGGUGGGGUUGAUGCUAUGUCAGGGUUUGUUCUCAUGAAGCCACACAUUAUAUUUGGAACAUUUUUUUUACCUUUCUAGCCUGGACUUUGACCUUAGUGACCUCAGCUAACAGACUCCCUACUCUCUUGUAAAGAUUUUUAUUUCAGAGAUCUCAUUGCUCUCCCUUUAAUCUGGUUUCCCUAAAUCCACCCUCCUCCCCACCCCGUGAGUACAUCAAACAUUAAACACCAAAUAUGACCAUAAGCCAAGUUCUCCCCACCAACAGUCCUGAGACCCAGACAAAUUAAGAGAUAGAGCUGAAAAUCUGUUUAAGUGGUCUGAGAGUAUUUUCUUCACUGUCAUCAUUAUCAUAAUCAUCUCUGUCAUCAUUAACAUUUGUUAAGUCCUUGACAGGUAUUUUCUCAUUAAAAGCCCUAUAAGGCAGGUCCUUUAUCAUCCUAAUUUAGCUGGUGGAUAAGGAAAACUGAGGUACAAAGACAUUAAGUAACUCACCCAAGGUCAUGCUGCUAAGUGAUGGAGCACAGGAUGUCACGGUCUCCAAGGAAGUUUAUCUGUUUGAGGACACAGAAGACUCCAGGAGACUCUAACCUGACUUUUCACAUGCAACUAACUGGUCGCUGGGGCCCAGGUAAGUUGCCAUGUUACAAAGAAGUUACAUGGAGAGGAAAAAAAGCUAAGUAGUGCGGUGUCGGCUCCUGGUUAAGCAAGGAAACUGUGUUUCUGCAGAAGUUCAGAGAAGAAGAAGUAUGAGGGACCACAAAUGGCUCUCUGAGAACAUGCUUAUCCUUCAAACAACUCCAGUUUGCUCUUCACCUAAUUAGAUGAGCUUUUGCCUCUUUGUUUUUACUUCACUUUAUUUCUAAGGAAUAAUUUAGAUAAUUUUACUAAAAAUGUCAAGAGUAAGCCAAUACAUAAUGAGGAAAAAAGUGGGGAAAGAGUGAAAAUAGAAAUACUAAGUUUGAAAUAAUAACAUUAGUGCUAGAAAAAAUGGAAAGGAGAGGAGAAGAGAUAAAAAUAGAUUUUUAAAAAUCUUUAUAAAAUCCCAUAGAUUGGUUUCUCCUAUGCAAAAAUGUAUUCUCAUUACUAUGCUGGCUGUGUUAGUUUGUCAGAUUUACAGGAAAUAAACAAUGGCAUAUAGAUUCCAAACAUGUAAACCAAACAGUUUUAUGUUGCAAGCAUAAUAUAAGAUUACAGAUUUAUGUACUGCCCUGCAUUCUCUUUGGAAGAGGAAAAUAUUGAUUAGUGUUUGGUAUUUUGUUAUCAAGGACAUAGAUUCUGAAUGUAAUUUUUGUAAGUCAGUAAUUUAAAGUGUAUCUCAAUCGGCCCUCAUUCGGGAUAGUAGGGCUACUUUUCCUUUCUAUUUGAAUAGAAAAUAAUACACAGUUUACUGACACAUGGCUUCUUUUUCAAAAUCCCUUUAUGUGAGAUAAUGUUAAAAAUACUGUUUGCUCCAUAAAGUCAAGAGGGGUGAAGCAAAUACCAUUCCAUAACCCUUACUAAAAAUUUCAUUUCACAUGCAAUUUUUUGCUUUGCUAAUUGGUUGUCCUUUCUUCUUUUCUUUCCUUCUUUUCCAAGAAAUUUAUUUAUACAAUGAGUUCAAAGAGUCACAAAAUAGAAGAGCUUUUGAAAAUACCACGACCAAGAGCUGUCUCGAUGCAAUCUUGUCAAGUAAGAAGUCUGACUUUGGUCCUUCAUGCUUUUCACCUUUACUUCACCCUCUCUGGUUUUUUAAUGAAUUUCUCAUCCAAUCUCUUGUUAUGCAUAUAUGUUUAUAUAAUUAAGGUAUUUGAAUUGUUUAAGUGGACUCUGCUAGAGGCAACACCAAACCUAAAAAAAUAAAUAUUGAGGAUGUAUAAAUGGUCAGAAUGAUCAAGGAGAUCUUUUUGAAGAGUGGCAUCUUUUGGUGGUCCUCUAAUCCUGCCAUGAAGCAUUGUGCUCCAUUCCAGGGCCUGAUUUGAUUGUUCCCUUGACUUCAGGCAGGACAAAGUUAAACUCAUAGUAUAUAUGACUAGCAAUAAGUGGGCCUACCAUCCAUGUAUCUAACCAUGAUAAUAGUAUUUUUCUAAAUCAUUAUGUUACAUGUUCAAAACUUGCAGAGAAAUCUACAAAUUACAAAUGCUAGAGAGAGUGUAGAGAAAAGGGAACCCUUCUAUACUGAUGGUGGGAAUGUAAAUUUGUACAGCCGCUAGGGAAAACAGUAUAGAGAUUCCUUUAAAAACUAUCUAUAGGACUAUUACAUGAUCCAGCAAUCCUAUUCCUGGGCAUAUAUCCAGACAAAACUACAAUUCAAAAAAGAUACAUGCACCCAUAUGUUCAUAGCAGCACUAUUCACAAUAGCCAAGAUAUGGAAGCAACCUAAAUGUCCAUCAACAGGAGAAUGGAUUAAGAUGUGGUACAGAGUUCCCAUCAUGGCUCAGCAGAAACAAAUCUGACUAGCAUUCAUGAGAACUCAGGUUUCAUCCUUGGCCUCACUCAGUGGGUUUAGGAUCCAGCAUUGCUGCAAGCUGUGGUGUGGUUUGCAGACACAGCUGGGAUCUGAUGUUGCUGUGGCUAUGGCAUAGGCCAGUGGCUACAGCUCUGAUUUGACCCCUAGUCUGGGAACCU